Molecule: small nuclear RNA, 109 nt
Organism: Sorex araneus (European shrew)
Lineage: Eukaryota; Metazoa; Chordata; Mammalia; Eulipotyphla; Soricidae
Source: RefSeq, a predicted model, not a curated record
AUGAUUAGUUAUCGGCAGCACAUAUACUAAAAUUGGAAUGAUACAGAGAAAAUUAGCAUGGCCCCUGUGCAAGGAUGACAUGCAAAUUUGGGAAGCGUUCCAUAUUUUU